GACGAUUUGAAGGAUGGACGCUGGAUAGCGGCAAACGGGUGAGUAUCGCGUGAGUAACUUACCCUCGAGUCAGGAAUAGCCCCGUGAAAACGGGAGUAAUACCUGAUAGCAUUUAAGUGCUGCAUGGCACUUUUAUUAAAGGUGGGGAUUUUCGGACCUGCCACUCGGGGAUUGACUCGCGUCCUAUCAGCUUGUUGGUGAGGUAACGGCUCACCAAGGCGUAUGACGGGUAGCCGGCCUGAGAGGGCGAUCGGCCACACUGGGACUGAGACACUGCCCAGACUCCUACGGGAGGCUGCAGUCGAGAAUAUUUAGCAAUGGACGAAAGUCUGACUAUGUGACGCCGCGUGCAGGAUGAAGGUUUUCGGAUUGUAAACUGCUUUUAUCAGGAAAGAAACCUUGUCGGUUAAUACCCGGCAAGCUGACGGUACCUGAUGAAUAAGCCACGGCUAACUCCGUGCCAGCAGCCGCGGUAAUACGGAGGUGGCAAGCGUUACUCGGAAUUAUUGGGUGUAAAGGGCAAGUAGGCGGUUUAAUAAGCGAGGGGUGAAAUCUUCCGACUCAAUCGGAAAACUGCCUUCGAACUGUUAGACUUGAGGCAGACAGAGGGAAAUGGAAUUUCCGGUGUAAGGGUGAAAUCUGUAGAUAUCGGAAAGAACACCAACGGCGAAGGCAAUUUCCUGGGUCUGUCCUGACGCUAGACUGCGAAAGCUAGGGUAGCAAACAGAAUUAGAUACUCUGGUAGUCCUAGCUGUAAACGAUGAGUACUAGGUGUCGGAUCGCAAGAUUCGGUGCCGCAGCUAACGCAUUAAGUACUCCACCUGGGGACUACGGUCGCAAGGCUAAAACUCAAAGGAAUUGACGGGGGCCCGCACAAGCGGUGGAACAUGUGGUUUAAUUCGAUGAUACGCGAAAAACCUCACCAAGGCUUGACAUAUAAGAAGUAGUGAACCGAAAGGGGAACGAGUCGUCAAGUCCGACAACUUAUACAGGUGCUGCAUGGCUGUCGUCAGCUCGUGUCGUGAGAUGUUGGGUUAAGUCCCGCAACGAGCGCAACCAUUGCCCUAUGUUGCCACCACAUUUUAACCUUCGGGUAUGAAUGUGAGCACUCUUAGGGGACUGCCCGGGAUAACCGGGAGGAAGGUGGAGAUGACGUCAAGUCAGUACGGCCCUUAUGCCUUGGGCGACACACGUGUUACAAUGGUCGAUACAAAGGGUUGCCAACCCGUGAGGGGGAGCUAAUCUCUAAAAAUCGGCCCCAGUUCAGAUUGGAGUCUGCAAUUCGACUCCAUGAAGCCGGAAUCGCUAGUAAUGGGAGAUCAGCACGCUCCCGUGAAUACGUUCCCGGGCCUUGUACACACCGCCCGUCAAGCGAUGGGAGCCGGGGGUACCCGAAGUCCUAUGUAGAUAGGCCGAAGGUAAAUCUGGUGACUGGCGCUAAGUCGGAACAAGGUA
This 1455-nucleotide ribosomal RNA is filed under the name metagenome. RNAcentral describes it as "bacterial SSU rRNA". It matches the Rfam family "Bacterial small subunit ribosomal RNA". The record is from RNAcentral.